UGAGCAAGUUCGAACUCAGGAGGCGCACCAGCAAUUCAAUUGGCUGGAUGCAGAUGAAGCAAUAAUUGCUUCACGGUACACCAAACUGACAAAUCAUCUCCUUUUUUUUUGUUGGAUUUGAAGUUGUGUUUUAUUUUAGGGGAGAGAGAAUAGCCAGAUCCAUAUUCUUGUUAAUUGGAAAGCCUUGAUCUUGCUUAGAAAAUUUGCAUACAAAACAAACAAAUUGCCAUUUACAGUUUACAUAUUGACACUUGCGAAUACUAAACACAGCAUAUAAAAAUCAUUGAAUGGCAGGUCCUCCUUAUGCCACUCAUACCUUAUUCCACAAUUAUCUCAAACUACAAAAAACAGGUGAAUGAAACAACACAAAUCUCCCAAAUCCCUUUGACUUCUCAGCUGUUCCUGGUUCUUCCCUUUCACCGCCGAUGGCGAAGAGUUGAGAAACCGGCGUUCACAUCCUUGUUGAUCUGGGCAUAGUAUGAACUGGCAAUGUUCGAGCCAUUAGCAGCUGUUGCAGUAGAGACCAUAGAACCUUUAUUCAUGCUGUGAGACUGGGCCAACUCUACCCCGCUUCGCUGCUCCUUGAACUCGGCAGCUGACAGCUGUGGCAACUCCGACUUGGUUCGCCGGUGACUCGAGCCAUCGACAGAUUCGCCCCCCGCGAGAAGAUGGUAGCUCCUGGCUGAGCCAUCAGACAGGCACCUGUAGCUGCUGUACAGCCUUUGUUUCCUGACGCUGCGGAUGACAAACGGGAUCAAACCUUCCAUGCUGCUUCUUCUUCUGCUCCUUCUUGCAAAGAUCUUUCUUGAAAGUGUGAAAGUGGGUAUGUUGCUUGUGUUGAUUUUGUGAAUGGCUAAGAAAGUGGCUUGGUAGAUGUGUAUUUAUAUAGUGGGGAUUGAACGUUGAACGACAGCUUGAUCCCACAACUUAGUUCUUUAGGAUUUUGCAAGCCAAGUUGUCAAAAUGGGAAGUCAAAUUUCCCAUUUUGAAAGUCUAGUCCAAAUGGUACAUUGAACCACGUGGUAAGCCUGUCAGAUUUUCCCUAUGAUUAGUUAGAACUUGAAUUGUUCUAGAGAGCAAAUCUUGACAUUGCAGCUAAUUCAUGCUCUUGACCCAGAAAAAAGAAAAGGGCAAAAAUUAAUUUAGAUAAGGACAACGUCAUUAGGUCUCCUAAUGCUGGUCAUCCUUUCAACCAUUGAGCAG
RNAcentral lists this long non-coding RNA (1203 nucleotides) under Eucalyptus grandis. RNAcentral describes it as "long non-coding RNA (EGRA_LNC004186)". The record is from RNAcentral. Lineage: Eukaryota; Viridiplantae; Streptophyta; Magnoliopsida; Myrtales; Myrtaceae.